RNAcentral lists this ribosomal RNA (216 nucleotides) under Glomeromycotina sp. RNAcentral describes it as "partial small subunit ribosomal RNA". The stretch from base 44 to 216 matches the Rfam family "Eukaryotic small subunit ribosomal RNA", at positions 690 to 864 of the family's 1831-position model. The record is from RNAcentral. Lineage: Eukaryota; Fungi; Glomeromycota.
GGGUCAGUAGGUUGGUCGUGCCACCGGUACGUACUGGUCUCACUGAUUCCUCCUUCCUGAAGAACCGUAAUGCCAUUAAUCUGGUGUUGCGGGGAAACAGGACUGUUACUUUGAAAAAAUUAGAGUGUUUAAAGCAAGCCAACGCUUGAGUACAUUAGCAUGGAAUAAUGAAAUAGGACGAUCGAUCCUAUUUUGUUGGUUUCUAGGAUUGACGUA